AGGACGAACGGCUGGCGGCGUGCCUAAUACAUGCAAGUCGAACGGUCUUUCUAUGGAAGCUUGCUUCCGCUGAGAAGAUAGUGGCGAACGGGUGAGUAACACGUGGGUAACCUGCCCAUAAGAGGGGGAUAACAUCCGGAAACGGGUGCUAAUACCGCAUAGUUUUCUUGAUCGCAUGAUCGGGAAAGGAAAGACGGCCUUUGUGCUGUCGCUUAUGGAUGGACCCGCGGCGUAUUAGUUAGUUGGUGAGGUAAUGGCUCACCAAGACGAUGAUACGUAGCCGACCUGAGAGGGUGAUCGGCCACAUUGGGACUGAGACACGGCCCAAACUCCUACGGGAGGCAGCAGUAGGGAAUCUUCCGCAAUGGACGAAAGUCUGACGGAGCAACGCCGCGUGAGUGAAGAAAGGUUUUCGGAUCGUAAAACUCUGUUGUCAGAGAAGAACAAGUUGGAGAGUAACUGCUCCAGCCUUGACGGUAUCUGACCAGAAAGCCACGGCUAACUACGUGCCAGCCGCGGC
This 520-nucleotide ribosomal RNA is filed under the name uncultured bacterium. RNAcentral describes it as "bacterial SSU rRNA". It matches the Rfam family "Bacterial small subunit ribosomal RNA", at positions 26 to 518 of the family's 1533-position model. The record is from RNAcentral.